CCUACGGGUGGCAGCAGUAGGGAAUCUUCCGCAAUGGACGAAAGUCUGACGGAGCAACGCCGCGUGAGCGAAGAAGGCCUUCGGGUCGUAAAGCUCUGUUGUCAGGGAAGAACAAGUGCCAUAGUAACUGAUGGCACCUUGACGGUACCUGACCAGAAAGCCACGGCUAACUACGUGCCAGCAGCCGCGGUAAUACGUAGGUGGCAAGCGUUGUCCGGAAUUAUUGGGCGUAAAGCGCGCGCAGGCGGUCCUUUAAGUCUGAUGUGAAAGCCCACGGCUCAACCGUGGAGGGUCAUUGGAAACUGGGGGACUUGAGUGCAGAAGAGGAGAGCGGAAUUCCACGUGUAGCGGUGAAAUGCGUAGAGAUGUGGAGGAACACCAGUGGCGAAGGCGGCUCUCUGGUCUGUAACUGACGCUGAGGCGCGAAAGCGUGGGGAGCAAACAGGAUUAGAUACCCCAGUAGUC
This 465-nucleotide ribosomal RNA is filed under the name uncultured Bacillus sp. Its description in RNAcentral is "bacterial SSU rRNA". It matches the Rfam family "Bacterial small subunit ribosomal RNA", at positions 338 to 795 of the family's 1533-position model. The record is from RNAcentral. Lineage: Bacteria; Bacillati; Bacillota; Bacilli; Caryophanales; Bacillaceae.